Molecule: ribosomal RNA, 520 nt
Filed under: uncultured bacterium
Lineage: Bacteria
Description: partial 16S ribosomal RNA
Rfam family: Bacterial small subunit ribosomal RNA
Source: RNAcentral
GACGAACGCUGGCGGCGUGCCUAAUACAUGCAAGUCGAACGCACUCUCGUUUAGAUUGAAGGAGUUUGCUCCUGAUUGAUAAACAUUUGAGUGAGUGGCGGACGGGUGAGUAACACGUGGGUAACCUGCCCUAAAGUGGGGGAUAACAUUUGGGAACAGAUGCUAAUACCGCAUAAAACCUAACACCGCAUGGUGUAGGGUUGAAAGAUGGUUUCGGCUAUCACUUUAGGAUGGACCCGCGGUGCAUUAGUUAGUUGGUGAGGUAAAGGCUCACCAAGACCGUGAUGCAUAGCCGACCUGAGAGGGUAAUCGGCCACACUGGGACUGAGACACGGCCCAGACUCCUACGGGAGGCAGCAGUAGGGAAUCUUCCACAAUGGACGAAAGUCUGAUGGAGCAACGCCGCGUGAGUGAAGAAGGUUUUCGGAUCGUAAAACUCUGUUGUUGGAGAAGAAUGUAUCUGAUAGUAACUGAUCAGGUAGUGACGGUAUCCAACCAGAAAGCCACGGCUAACUACGUG